CAGCCGUAAACUAUGCGCGUUAGGUGUAUCGGUGACCACGAGUCACCGAGGUGCCGAAGGGAAACCGUGAAACGUGCCGCCUGGGAAGUACGGUCGCAAGGCUGAAACUUAAAGGAAUUGGCGGGGGAGCACAACAACGGGUGGAGCCUGCGGUUUAAUUGGACUCAACGCCGGGAAGCUCACCGGAUAGGACAGCAAUAUGUAGGCCAGGCUGAAGACCUUGCCUGAAUCGCUGAGAGGAGGUGCAUGGCGUAGACGUCU
Molecule: ribosomal RNA, 261 nt
Filed under: uncultured archaeon
Lineage: Archaea
Description: partial 16S ribosomal RNA
Rfam family: Archaeal small subunit ribosomal RNA
Source: RNAcentral